GCCAGAUUAUUGCACAUCUAGGAAACUAGGUAGAAUUAGAAGUUGCACUUGCAGUGGUUAAGGACUGAGGGUUGACACUUGAGCCCGAAUUGAGGGCCUCAGAGACACCAGCACCAAGGGAUGAAGAUCCGGAAAAAGUAUUAACGUUGGCAUCAUCAUAAGAGGCAAUAUUUUCCGGCGUAAGCAUCUCUAAUUGCAAUUUGGGCAAUGGAGCUUUGGCAUUGAGUAUAUCAAGAGCUUCCCUAAUUGAUGGACGACGAGAGUGAUUUGGAUGAGCACAAGAAAGCCCAACAACAAUCAAUCGUUCCAUCUCCUCCCGAGCAUAAUUUUGGUCUAGUUGUGGAUCGGCUGCACCAAAAGUAUUUCCUCUUCGAUACUGCUCCCAAGCCCACUCCACCAGUUUCACCCGAAUUUUUACACCAUUUUCAUUAACUGCAGCUUUUAAAGCAGGCCUUCCGCUUGCUAUUUCCAGAACAACUACACCAAAGCUAUAGACAUCUGAUUCUUUAGAAGCCUUGCUGGUUAACAGAUACUCCGGAGCUACAUAUCCGUCUGUCCCGAUCAACCUUGAAGUGUCUGAGCCUUGGCCAUGCUCGACGAACGUAGCCAGCCCAAAAUCACCAAGCUUAGCAUUGAAGUUAGAAUCCAGCAAGAUAUUGCUUGACUUGAUAUCUCGAUGGAGUACACAUUGUUCACAUUCUUCUUGCAGGUAAAGCAGUGCCGUGGCCAAGCCCAAAGCUAUACCAUAUCUCUUCUCCCAUGUCAACAGGCAUGUUUUGUUAAAAAGAUGGAAAUCCAAGCUCUUAUUUGGAACGAACUCGUAGAUAAUGAAAAGUUCUUGCUUGUUGCGGCACCAGCCAAUGAGUAGGACCAAGUUCCUGUGCCUCAAUCGGCUGAUGGCUUUCACUUCUGAGACAUAUGCUUUUAAACCCUGAUGAGACUCUGAAGUAAUAAUCCUCUUCACGGCAACACAAGAAUUGUCGCUCAACAUACCAAUAUAUACCCUUCCAAAUCCUCCCUUUCCAAGCAGUCUUUCACUCGCAAAGUUAUUGGUUGCAAGAACCAAUUCCUCGUAGGAAAAGCUUCUCGGUCCGUUCUCCUUCUCAAAAUCGUCAUUUGAGCUGCCAGGCCCAUUUUCUGUCUGUCUUCUCCUCUUCUUGCAACAGACAUACCAAACCAAACCCAAAACUGACAAAACCGAAAUCAGAGUUCCACUAAUACCCAAGACAGCCCAUAUCCAUACUUUGUUCUCUCUUUUUGAAGAGAUAGCUGCUUGUGUAUUAGUGUGGUUGCCUAAAUUUUCAUCAACUUGCAAGGUUGAGUUAAAAUUCCAAGUGUGUAUCUCAUGCUCCUCGAAUAAAUCUAUGGUGGUGGAUGCUGAGAAGCCUACCGUAGCCCAUUCAUCUGUUAAAUAUUCUCUAAAGUCUACAAUAUAAUGAAGGUUAUACGAAUUAUUACCCGUGGAACUUUCUUCAUUACCAUUAGUUACAAGAACACUUAAAUUUUUUGAGCUGGAAUUGUAUUCAAUCCAAGCUUGAAUUUCUUCUCCAUUAGCUAUAUCAUCCUGUGUCCAGUUCGUGACAACGACAGAGGACAAUGAGUUGAGAUCAAUACCUAUGUGAUCAUUUCCAUCUGCAGGAUCCCAAUCACUACUCCAGCCAGAGUCAAAUUCAAUGGCAACAAAUGGAAGUUGCGCAUUGGUAUAGCUCAAAAGGCCAAGACGUCCGCCUCCUGACAAAGGCUCAAGUUUAGAACCAUUGUUGGCGAGGAAGAAUGCAAAUCCAUUGCCUCUGCUUUCAUUACCGUUGGAAUUCAUAGCGAAGGAAAAAUGAGUUUUGAAGUCUGCAAUAUUGCCAGACUUAUCCCAAAGGUGAAUUGGUUUGUAAUAUGUGGCUCGACCGACGCUACCAUUGGAGCUCAACUGAUCAAAGCUUUUGGUGAGUUUAAUGUAUGGAUCUUCAGCAUAUGCGUCUCCCUCCAACUUAAUCUCUGUCAUAUUAUAUGAGCUGAAUUCGUUGAAGCUAAAAGCGGUUGAUUCAGUGGAAGAUUGGAUUUUGAAAGGGAAGAAUGUAAACAAGAAUAGGAUGAUGAAUGUGCACAAAGACGGACGUUUGGAGGAUUCCAUGGUUG
Molecule: unclassified non-coding RNA, 2130 nt
Filed under: Hevea brasiliensis (rubber tree)
Lineage: Eukaryota; Viridiplantae; Streptophyta; Magnoliopsida; Malpighiales; Euphorbiaceae
Source: RNAcentral